UGAUGAAUGUCUUUGGCCUGUAGUGCAAAGAUGAAUGAUUACCUGAUGAAUAUCUUUGGUCCGUAGUGCAAAGAUGAACAGGUGUUGAGAUGAACAUGACCAACUGGUAAUACAGAUGGAUAUCUUUGGCCCGUAGUGCAAAGAUGAAUAUUUGAUGCAAGAUGUGUAUUGAUUGAUGUUACAGGGAUAGAAUAUUGAUGAUGGAC
Molecule: long non-coding RNA, 206 nt
Filed under: Panax ginseng (ginseng)
Lineage: Eukaryota; Viridiplantae; Streptophyta; Magnoliopsida; Apiales; Araliaceae
Description: long non-coding RNA (PGIN_LNC011760)
Source: RNAcentral